Molecule: ribosomal RNA, 567 nt
Filed under: uncultured Acidimicrobiaceae bacterium
Lineage: Bacteria; Bacillati; Actinomycetota; Acidimicrobiia; Acidimicrobiales; Acidimicrobiaceae
Description: bacterial SSU rRNA
Rfam family: Bacterial small subunit ribosomal RNA
Source: RNAcentral
ACUCCUACGGGAGGCAGCAGUUAGGAAUCUUGCGCAAUGGGCGAAAGCCUGACGCAGCGAUGCCGCGUGCGGGAUGAAGGCCCUCGGGUCGUAAACCGCUUUCAGCAGGGACGAUAGUGACGGUACCUGCAGAAGAAGCCCCGGCCAACUACGUGCCAGCAGCCGCGGUAAUACGUAGGGGGCGAGCGUUGUCCGGAUUUAUUGGGCGUAAAGAGCUCGUAGGCGGUUUGGUAAGUCGGGUGUGAAAUCUCCACGCUCAACGUGGAGGGGCCACUCGAUACUGCCAUGACUCGAGUCCGGUAGAGGAGUGUGGAAUUCCCGGUGUAGCGGUGAAAUGCGCAGAUAUCGGGAGGAACACCCGUAGCGAAGGCGGCACUCUGGGCCGGAACUGACGCUGAGGAGCGAAAGCGUGGGGAGCAAACAGGAUUAGAUACCCUGGUAGUCCACGCCGUAAACGUUGGGCACUAGGUGUGGGGAUCUAUCGACGGUUUCCGUGCCGAAGCUGACGCAUUAAGUGCCCCGCCUGGGGAGUACGGCCGCAAGGCUAAAACUCAAAUGAAUUGACGG